CUCGCCGUAGUUCAAUGGAUAGAACGAGUGCCUCCUAAGCGCUAGAUACAGGUUCGAUUCCUGUCGGCGAGACCA
This 75-nucleotide transfer RNA is filed under the name Oxalicibacterium faecigallinarum. RNAcentral describes it as "tRNA-Arg". It matches the Rfam family "tRNA". Rfam says of the family: Transfer RNA (tRNA) molecules are approximately 80 nucleotides in length. Their secondary structure includes four short double-helical elements and three loops (D, anti-codon, and T loops). RNAcentral also lists the same sequence under 3 other names. Lineage: Bacteria; Pseudomonadati; Pseudomonadota; Betaproteobacteria; Burkholderiales; Oxalobacteraceae. The record is from RNAcentral.